CAUAUUAAAUGUUCUAUGUAAGGCAAUUUAAUUACAUCAGCGCUUGGGUGUUUCGUCAAAACAUGCCUUAUAAAAGCCAUUUUAAAUAUCAGGGAUGGGUGAUGGAUUUUGUUGAUAGAUUAAAGUGUUCAUAUGUAGCAACAGUUUUGUAUAAUUUAAUUAUAUAAGAUUGAUAUGGCUUGAGAAUAGAAUCGGGUAAGGAAAACUUAUCACAGGUCUUCAAGUCAUCAUGUUGGUCAAUGCGUUAUGCAUGGCUCUUCUACAAUUUUCCAGACUUUGCUUCUCAUUAUUGAUAUGAUAUACUUUGAUGUAAAAAUUAGUUGUUCUCCUGUCGUAAUUAUGUGAUGUUCCUUAGAACUCUGCCUCGGUUAGACCAAACAUUGCUAGUGCCUAGCCUGGAUAAAAGAAAAGGGUUGUGUUAGGUGACAACCAGUGUAAAGCUUUAUCACAUCUCAUGAU
Molecule: unclassified non-coding RNA, 459 nt
Filed under: Hevea brasiliensis (rubber tree)
Lineage: Eukaryota; Viridiplantae; Streptophyta; Magnoliopsida; Malpighiales; Euphorbiaceae
Source: RNAcentral